GCUCGUUGAUCUGUGGGCCCGUUCGUCGCGAUCACUACCGCUGGGACCCACCACCCUGUAACCCUAACCCAUCUUCCACGCACGCGUAACUGGGUUGUUGCAACCACCCAUCGACUAGGGCCCCUCUGUCCCUAUAUACGGCGCCCCAUCGUGCCUCAAUCCAAGCACUGAGUCGCACCCCCGUCGUGGAAAGGGAACAACAUCGCCCCCAACACCGAGAGAGAUAGGGGGAUCUGCCGCACGAGCAUCCUGCAGGGAUCACCGCUCUGGGCUGGACAGAUGGUCAAGGCAAGUCUCCAGAGCACGUACGUUCGUGACCUCAUAUGGUGAGGUUGGUGGAUGGGAGCAUGGUUGUUUCUCACCGAAGUUUCCCUCCGCCAAGGAAAGCCCCCUGCCGCGGGCCGGCGUUGCUGCUUCACCACUGUCGGUGAGUCCUCCUUCCACGUGUUCGCCAUCAACUCCUCAGCACGUAGUCGUGAUAGAUUUGGAAUAGGAGCACCAGGGCGUGGAAUUAGUGUACGCCGGCGGGAGAACCGCCGUGGGGCUCGCUUCUGCCGCCGCGGUGGUGUCGUGGGAAGAAGUGAGGAUACCAGCCAUUGAUCCCUUCGCGGACGGAUGAGAUUAUAACAUAGUCUUCUGCUUCGAUCGAUUAGAUCCGGGGCGUUGAAUCGGGAACCGGUGGUUGAGAUUAGAACGUCUUCAUACCCUUUCACGUUUUUAAUCCAGACCACAUAUCUGCUAUCUGAUGGCCCAGGCGCGAUCGGAUAAGAUGGUCGUGUGAGUUUUAUUAGCCCCUAGGUUUUGUCUUAUUCGACCCGCGGUCUGGGUAUGGUCUGGGUAUGCAUAAAGAAUAGAACAAAUAGGUCCAAGUAUUUUCAAAACAGACCCUGUACUUUUUAGAAAUAGAACCCACCAUCCUACUAUUGAUUAAAUGGAUAAAAUAAGUCAAAGGAAAUUCAGAAAAAAACUUUAAUAAUGAUUUUCAAGAGUAAAAUUAAUAUAAGAAAUACCUAUACACUUAGAAAAUUCAUAACUUAUACAUUGUAACUCGGAUUUUAGUGGUUCUCUAACCUACGAUCUCAUAGCGACGUGUAGAAUAUUUUUACACAGUCUAUUCUCAUGUAUGAUGUAAUGUUAAUUUUACCUAUUCCUUGUCUAUCUAUGUGUAUUGGUACGAGUAGAACCGAGAUCAUGUAAAGCCCAAAAUAUAUAUAAGGGAAAAAUAAUAAAAUAAAUAAAUGAACAUGUUUAUAAGUGGGUGUUUUGGGAUUAUGGAACCUUUGGAGAUUAUUUGGUUUUCUUUUAUUUAUGUAUAUUUAAUUAGUGGAAUUAUAUUGGUCAAAUAACAAAGAAAUAAAUACAGAAUUAUGCUAAAGUUUUUGUAUUUUUGCAUUUGUAUUCAAAUUUAUGAGACAAGUUUAACUUUAAAAAAAAUGGAAAGAGAAACAAGAAAGAGAAUGAAAUAGAAAUGGAAAAAGAAUAGACAUUACAAAGAAAAAUAUAUAUAAAUAAUUAUAAUUCUUCAUGCUAGCACUUUAUUUAUGCACUUGAUUUCUAUGACAAAUUUGAAUUCAAAUAUCAGAUUUUGAAAACAAAACAAGAAAAUAGAAACAAAUAAAGAAAAAGAAAAAGAAAAGGAAAAGGAAAAGGAAAAGGAAAACAGACUUUGGCCUCAAACCCUAGCAUACGACCCAACUAACCAUCUCUUUUUUCCACCGUGCAGCCCACUUAACACACCCACGCGACCUAGCACGGACAGAUGGGCCCAGGUCACCAGCGCCUCAUCUGAUCCGCGCGCGGAGCUGCGUUCACCGGUGUGACGCUGGCGCGUGGGGCCAUCUCGUCGGUUCCAUCUCCUACCCUAUAUUGAACUCGUCCUGUCUAUUACGAAGGAGCCGGAGCGAACAUCGCACCAAGAUACAGUCUGAUACCUGUGAUGCUUGCCUAGGAUCCCUCACGGGGUAUAAAACUAAGCCAUUCUCACGCCCGACCCUCCCUCAAACCUAAACGUCGAGACUGCGUCGUCGGUGAUGGGUGCGAGCGAGAGAGAUUGGCGCCGCUUGGCGCCGAAGGGCUGGGUGACCCGCUGUCCGCCGCCGAUCUCUGCCCGUGCGCCCGCUGCCCGGGGGACUUCAUCAUGGGGUCAGGAAGAGUCACCAGAGCCAGUGGUACAUGCACGUGGGGUGUUGUAUGUGCGACAUCGACCGGCAACAGAGGAAUUGCUCGUUGUCGCUUGAUGUUGCCGUAAAUCCGCCUCACAACGUGGAACUUCUCCUGGUAAGCCGGUCUGGGCGUGUGGGCUAGUCAGGGGGCUUCACGGACUCUCAUUGUUGGAGUUCAGGGUCGUAUGGGUCGCGAUGGUGCUCUGUGGCCCCACCAAUUGCUCGCCGAUGCCGAGCAGGCGCCACCGGACCGCCGUGUGCAUGGAUAGCUCACCACUCCAUCUUUGCCUCAGGUAAAUAACAAUCCAAUGCUUUACCCAUGUCUGGAGCAUCGUGUAGAACCAUUCUGGGUUGUGGAUUGAGCACCAGGGCGCCGAGUAGGACGUCUGUGGCGAAAACCCCAUCGUGGGGGCCUACGCGCCGCCAUCCUGCAAUGGUGAGGGAGAAGAAAGCUUUCUAGCCGUUGAUUCCUUGAUGUGCGGCUAGGAUCAUAUCGCUCGCAUAUCCUUUCGUGUAUUCUACGAUAUCCGUUAAGAUCUGAUCAGAUGGUUGAGAGGGGUUGUUUGUAUGGAGCAUUGCAGGCCGUGCAUCUUAGAUCGUACUAUCCACGUCGCUUACCGAUUCAUAAAAUAUCCCGAUCUAAUCUGAACCCUUGAAUCGCGAUCGCACGGUCUGGUUGAUCGAUACCCUUUCGGUCGUAUCCUUUUUGCAUAAGAGCCCCUGAGAUUUCUGAGAAUCAACCCGCCGUCCUGAUGCAGUGGUAGAAAAUUUAAUCUAUGCCCCUAAAACUUGUAGUUUGGCCCCUGAUCUCUUAAAGAAUGGCACCCUCAGUCUAGGACUUAUAGAAUUUAGUAAAAUAAAUCCGAAAAUGGAAUUUUAGUAUAAAAAUAAGUCUGGAAACCUUAGAAACUCAUAACUCCUUUAUUUUAACUCCUUUUUGAUCCAUUCCAGUUGCAUUAAUCUCAUAUUAAUAUUGUUUAUCAUAUAGUAACCUUGUAUUACCAUGAAAUCUAUGAUUAAAAUCUUGUACCUUUGCUUUAUAGUAGACACUUAAACUUUCGGAAAAUCAUAACUUUAUGACCGUAACUCCGAAUUUAGUGGUUCUCGAACCGGUGAUCUCGUUACGUUGCGUAGAACAUUAUUAUGCAUUAUGUUCUUAUGUUUAGUGUGAUGUUAAUUUUUCUUAUACCAUGUUUGUUUGUAUUGCUACGAAUAGCUGCGAGGUUACGAGUCACUUGAAGACCAAGUUGGUACCUGAGAAUCUUGAGUCUAAGGCAAAUUGUGCCCUUGAUCACUUUUCUCCUUACCCAAUAAUGUUCGUGUUAAUCAGUGUGACAUGCUUAGGUUAAUUUGAUGGAACCUAAUAGGUUUCCCUAGAUUUGUUUAUCCCACACCUUGUUUACCACUGAACUUUUGGGUAGUUUUGCUAUUGCUCUACCUGGUUUUGGGAUUAAUUUUACAUUAUGAUCAUGUUCUAGUUAUGUUAUUGUUUUAAUUAUUGUUCAUGACAAGAUCAUUGUGUUAAUUGGAACAUGGAGCUUAACUUGAGAUAUCCGUGCUACCACAAGGGUGGAAUGGGACGCCCUCGGCUGACUAAUUAAAAAGGUAGUAGAGGACUACCUUACCCAAAAGGGGCAAUGGCGGUAGAGGAGCUGCGUAUAGGGAAGUUCUCGGGUCGAUCAUGCUACGAUGGCUUUUCGGACGAGAGAUGCCUAUACUGCCUUUCUCAAAAACCGUAGCGGGUUUUCUGAAGCUAGUGGAACUUUGUAAAGGUCUCAUAGUGGAUCCCUAGCCAUUCACCUCGGAAGUGUCUAAGGGCCUUACAAACCCUGGCUAGACGGGAUACACGACUUGUGGGUAAAGGGCGCAACCUCUGCAGAGUGUAAAACUGGUAUAUCAGUCGUGCUCACGGUUAAGAGCGACUUAGGACUCUCGCAUGAUUAAUUUAUGGAACUAAACUUAAUUUGUCAUAUGCAUUGCAUUGUGGGUGUUGUUAUUAAUUUUGAUCUCAUAAUUAUUUGGGUUGGUAUCUACUUUUGCUUAGUAACUGCUAAUAAAAUUUUGACCAACUCUAAAAGCAAUGCUCAGCUUUAACCAUAUCCUUUGGUAAGUCUUACACUUCAUAUGAGCCCCCACCUUUGGUGAGUUCAUGCACAUUAUUCCCCACAACAUGUUGAGCGAUGAACGCAUGAAUGAUGUCGCGAUGAUGUUCGUGAGAGGUCUAGGUCGUCGUCUCCCAGUCAACUAUGGCUGCUGGAUCGUUGUCUUCAUAUGAUAUAAUUAUUUAAUUAUUUUGUACACAAUUCCCAUAUAUAUUAAAGAUUUGACAUUUGUUUAUUUACCAUGAGUCAUCAUACAGUUGGUGAAGUUCACGCCCGGGUUUGGUGCCCCUAAAACCCGGGUGUGAUAGGUCAUGAAGUACCUAAAGACCAAAUUGGAGAAGUACCUGGAGUUGUACCAAAGGAUUGUUGUGCCCUUGAUCACUUUUCUUUACUUGAUAAUCUUCUCGAUAAUCAUUGUGACAUGCUCAGGUUAACUUGAUGGGACCUAAUAGGUUACCCUAGUAUUGUUCACCCUACACCUUGCAAACAAAUGAACUAUUGGGUAGUCUUGCUAUUGCCAUACCUGAUUUUAGAAUUAAUAUUAUAUCUUAAUUAUGAUCAUGCUCCAUUAUUAUUGUUGGUUUAACUAUUGUUCAUGAUAAGAUUAUCGUGUUAAUUGGAACAUGGAGUGACCAUGUCACACCUGGUUUUAGAAGGCAAACCGAAUGCGAACCAUGUACGCGCCAGGAUCAGCAAUUCACGCACACAACAGUUACAUAACCGGACAUCAUCACAUAGUGCUCGAAUAAUAACAUAAAAGAUAGUAAUAGUCGAUUACACCAUGAUGUCCGAGACAUCCACAUAGUCUUUAACAAUUAUCAAAGUGCGAAAACAAAACGUAGAUACACACGGCCUUCACAGGCAGCCGACUGGGGGUUUGCCGCUAACUCACGCCUAGAACUCAUCGUACUUUUGGAACUCCUGGAGGUCU
RNAcentral lists this long non-coding RNA (5195 nucleotides) under Zea mays. Its description in RNAcentral is "long non-coding RNA (ZMAY_LNC002538)". The record is from RNAcentral. Lineage: Eukaryota; Viridiplantae; Streptophyta; Magnoliopsida; Poales; Poaceae.